Molecule: ribosomal RNA, 676 nt
Filed under: uncultured bacterium
Lineage: Bacteria
Description: bacterial SSU rRNA
Rfam family: Bacterial small subunit ribosomal RNA
Source: RNAcentral
AGAGUUUGAUCCUGGCUCAGGACGAGCGCUGGCGGUGUGCUUCACACAUGCAAGUCGAGCGAAUGAAGAAGGUAGCUUGCUACUUUUGGAUUUAGCGGCGGACGGGUGAGUAAUAUAUAGGAAUCUGCCCUAGAGCGGGGAACAACAGACCGAAAGGUUUGCUAAUGCCCCAUAGGUACGCAGUCUUCGGAUUGUUUAUUAAAGGAGUAAUCCACUCUAGGAUGAGCCUGUAUCCGAUUAGCUAGUUGGCGGGGUAAAGGCCCACCAAGGCUACGAUCGGUAGUUGGUCUGAGAGGAUGAUCAGCCACAAUGGGACUGAGACACGGCCCAUACUCCUACGGGAGGCAGCAGUGGGGAAUUUUACACAAUGGGGGAAACCCUGAUGUAGCGACACCGCGUGAACGAAGAAGCCUUUUGGGGUGUAAAGUUCUGUCGGCUGGAACGAAAAAAAUGACGGUACCAGCAAAGGAAGCAUCGGCUAACUACGUGCCAGCAGCCGCGGUAAGACGUAGGAUGCAAGCGUUGUCCGGAUUUAUUGGGCGUAAAGAGUUCGUAGGCGGUUAUUUAAGUCUGGUGUUAAAUACUGUGGCCCAACCACAGAACUGCAUUGGAUACUGGAUGACUUGAGUGCGGUAGAGGCGAGUGGAAUUCCCAGUGUAGCGGUGAAAUGCGUAGA